GACGAACGCUGGCGGCGUGCUUAACACAUGCAAGUCGAACGGAAAGGCCCUGCUUUUGUGGGGUGCUCGAGUGGCGAACGGGUGAGUAACACGUGAGUAACCUGCCCUUGACUUUGGGAUAACUUCAGGAAACUAGGGCUAAUACCGGAUAGGAGCUCCUGCUGCAUGGUGGGGGUUGGAAAGUUUCGGCGGUUGGGGAUGGACUCGCGGCUUAUCAGCUUGUUGGUGGGGUAGUGGCUUACCAAGGCUUUGACGGGUAGCCGGCCUGAGAGGGUGACCGGCCACAUUGGGACUGGGAUACGGCCCAGACUCCUACGGGAGGCAGCAGUGGGGAAUAUUGCACAAUGGGCGGAAGCCUGAUGCAGCAACGCCGCGUGCGGGAUGACGGCCUUCGGGUUGUAAACCGCUUUCGCCUGUGACGAAGCGUGAGUGACGGUAAUGGGUAAAGAAGCACCGGCUAACUACGU
This 467-nucleotide ribosomal RNA is filed under the name uncultured bacterium. RNAcentral's name for it is "partial 16S ribosomal RNA". It matches the Rfam family "Bacterial small subunit ribosomal RNA", at positions 28 to 506 of the family's 1533-position model. The record is from RNAcentral.